Molecule: ribosomal RNA, 440 nt
Filed under: uncultured bacterium
Lineage: Bacteria
Description: partial 16S ribosomal RNA
Rfam family: Bacterial small subunit ribosomal RNA
Source: RNAcentral
CUACGGGGUGCUGCAGUGAGGAAUAUUGCACAAUGGGGGGAACCCUGAUGCAGCAACGCCGCGUGGAGGAUGACGCAUUUCGGUGUGUAAACUCCUUUUAUAUGUCAAGAAAAUGACGGUAGCAUAUGAAUAAGCACCGGCUAACUCCGUGCCAGCAGCCGCGGUAAUACGGAGGUGUGCAAGCGUUACUCGGAAUCACUGGGCGUAAAGGACGCGUAGGCGGGUUGGAAAGUCAGGUGUGAAAUCCUACAGCUUAACUGUAGAACUGCACUUGAAACUUCUAAUCUAGAGUAUGGGAGGGGGAGAUGGAAUUAGUGGUGUAGGGGUAAAAUCCGUAGAUAUCACUAGGAAUACCUAAAGCGAAGGCGAUCUCCUGGAACAUUACUGACGCUAAGGCGUGAAAGCGUGGGGAGCAAACAGGAUUAGAUACCCGCGUAGUC